This is a long non-coding RNA of Piliocolobus tephrosceles (Ugandan red Colobus), 452 nucleotides long. RefSeq lists it as uncharacterized. The record is from RefSeq and is a predicted model, not a curated record. The transcript has 2 exons. Lineage: Eukaryota; Metazoa; Chordata; Mammalia; Primates; Cercopithecidae.
AGGAGCAGAUGGAAAAGUUGAAGCAAAAGGCAUCAAAGGAAUGUUCAGGUGUCUUUGGUCAAAAAUGGAGUAAAAAUACUGCACACCAAAGACGCUUACAUGAGCUCUGAGGACCAGGCCUCUGGUGGCGUUGUCCUGCCGCUGAGGCUCCGGGAUGAGGUGUGGCUGCAGGUGACAGGAGGAGAGAGGUUCAAUGGCUUGUUUGCUGAUGAGGACGAUGACACAACUUUCACAGGGUUCCUUCUGUUCAGCAGCCCGUGACAGAGGAGAGUUUAUAAAUCAGCCACACCAUCCAUCAGAAUCAGCUUGGUGACGAACUUUUUCAGAUGGUUUUACUUCACUAAUUCCUCCAAUUAUUACAAUAAUCAUAAAAAGGUGAAAACGGAAAAGUUAUUCCCAAAACUGAUUCUGUGUAACUUACUAUCUUUCCAGGAGUAAAUAUUGAAAAGAGC